CCUACGGGUGGCAGCAGUGGGGAAUAUUGGGCAAUGGGCGCAAGCCUGACCCAGCAACGCCGCGUGAAGGAAUAAGGCUUUCGGGUUGUUAACUUCUUGUCUCAUGGACGAAGCAAGUGACGGUACCUGAGGAAUAAGCCACGACUGACUACUUUCCACCAGCCGCGGUAAUACUUAGGUGGCAAGCGUUAUCCGGAUUUACUGGGUGUAAAGGGCGUUUAGGCGGGUACGCAAGUCAGAUGUGAAAACCACGGGCUCAACCUGUGGACUGCAUUUGAGACUGUGUUUCUUGAGUACUGGAGAGGCAGACGGAAUUCGUAGUGUAGCGGUGAAAUGCGUAGAUAUUGGGAGGAACACCAGUGGCGAAGGCGGUCUGCUGGACAGCAACUGACGCUGAGGCGCGAAGGCGUGGGGAGCGAACAGGAUUAGAUACCCGAGUAGUC
This 443-nucleotide ribosomal RNA is filed under the name uncultured bacterium. RNAcentral describes it as "partial 16S ribosomal RNA". It matches the Rfam family "Bacterial small subunit ribosomal RNA", at positions 338 to 795 of the family's 1533-position model. The record is from RNAcentral.